Molecule: ribosomal RNA, 666 nt
Filed under: uncultured Actinomycetales bacterium
Lineage: Bacteria; Bacillati; Actinomycetota; Actinomycetes; Actinomycetales
Description: bacterial SSU rRNA
Rfam family: Bacterial small subunit ribosomal RNA
Source: RNAcentral
UCGAACGGAAAGGCCUGCUUGCAGGGUACUCGAGUGGCGAACGGGUGAGUAACACGUGGGUGAUCUGCCCUGCACUUCGGGAUAAGCUUGGGAAACUGGGUCUAAUACCGGAUAGGAACCAUCUUUAGAUGUGGUGGUUGGAAAGUUUUUUCGGUGUAGGAUGAGCUCGCGGCCUAUCAGCUUGUUGGUGGGGUAAUGGCCUACCAAGGCGGCGACGGGUAGCCGGCCUGAGAGGGUGUACGGCCACAUUGGGACUGAGAUACGGCCCAGACUCCUACGGGAGGCAGCAGUGGGGAAUAUUGCACAAUGGGCGCAAGCCUGAUGCAGCGACGCCGCGUGGGGGAUGAAGGCCUUCGGGUUGUAAACUCCUUUCGCUAGGGACGAAGCUUUUUGUGACGGUACCUAGAUAAGAAGCACCGGCUAACUACGUGCCAGCAGCCGCGGUAAUACGUAGGGUGCGAGCGUUGUCCGGAAUUACUGGGCGUAAAGGGCUCGUAGGUGGUUUGUCGCGUCGUCUGUGAAAUUCUGGGGCUUAACUCCGGGCGUGCAGGCGAUACGGGCAUAACUUGAGUGCUGUAGGGGUAACUGGAAUUCCUGGUGUAGCGGUGAAAUGCGCAGAUAUCAGGAGGUACACCGAUGGCGAAGGCAGGUUACUGGGCAGUUACU